UACGUAGGGCGCAAGCGUUACUCGGAAUUACUGGGCGUAAAGCGUGCGUAGGUGGUUUGUUAAGUCUGUUGUGAAAGCCCCGGGCUCAACCUGGGAAUGGCAAUGGAUACUGGCAGGCUAGAGUGCGGUAGAGGGUAGUGGAAUUCCCGGUGUAGCGGUGAAAUGCGUAGAGAUGUGGAGGAACACCAAUGGCGAAGGCAGCUUGCUGGGCCGACCCUGACGCUGAGGUACGAAAGCGUGGGGAGCGAACAGG
RNAcentral lists this ribosomal RNA (253 nucleotides) under uncultured bacterium. RNAcentral describes it as "partial 16S ribosomal RNA". It matches the Rfam family "Bacterial small subunit ribosomal RNA", at positions 524 to 776 of the family's 1533-position model. The record is from RNAcentral.